GACGAUGCAUAGCCGAGUUGAGAGACUGAUCGGCCACAUUGGGACUGAGACACGGCCCAAACUCCUACGGGAGGCAGCAGUAGGGAAUCUUCCACAAUGGGCGAAAGCCUGAUGGAGCAACGCCGCGUGAGUGAAGAAGGUUUUCGGAUCGUAAAGCUCUGUUGUUGGUGAAGAAGGAUAGAGGUAGUAACUGGCCCCUAUUUGACGGUAAUCAACCAGAAAGUCACGGCUAACUACGUGCCAGCAGCCGCGGUAAUACGUAGGUGGCAAGCGUUGUCCGGAUUUAUUGGGCGUAAAGCGAGCGCAGGCGGAAAGAUAAGUCUGAUGUGAAAGCCCCCGGCUUAACCGAGGAAUUGCAUCGGAAACUGUGUUUCUUGAGUGCAGAAGAGGAGAGUGGAACUCCAUGUGUAGCGGUGGAAUGCGUAGAUAUAUGGAAGAACACCAGUGGCGAAGGCGGCUCUCUGGUCUGUAACUGACGCUGAGGCUCGAAAGCAUGGGUAGCGAACAGGAUUAGAUACCCUGGUAGUCCAUGCCGUAAACGAUGAGUGCUAAGUGUUGGG
Molecule: ribosomal RNA, 560 nt
Filed under: uncultured bacterium
Lineage: Bacteria
Description: bacterial SSU rRNA
Rfam family: Bacterial small subunit ribosomal RNA
Source: RNAcentral